CCUACGGGCGACAGCAGUGAGGAAUAUUGGUCAAUGGACGAGAGUCUGACCCAGCCAAGUAGCGUGAAGGAUGACUGCCCUAUGGGUUGUAAACUUCUUUUAUAUGGGAAUAAAAUGUUCCACGUGUGGGAUUUUGUAUGUACCAUAUGAAUAAGAAUCGGCUAACUCCGUGCCAGCAGCCGCGGUAAUACGGAGGAUGCGAGCGUUAUCCGGAUUUAUUGGGUUUAAAGGGAGCGUAGGUGGAGUGUUAAGUCAGUUGUGAAAGUUUGCGGCUCAACCGUAAAAUUGCAUUUGAAACUGGCAGUCUUGAGUACAGUAGAGGUGGGCAGAAUUCGUGGUGUAGCGGUGAAAUGCUUAGAUAUCACGAAGAACUCCGAUUGCGAAGGCAGUUCACUGGACUGCAACUGACACUGAGGCUCGAAAGUGUGGGUAUCAAACAGGAUUAGAUACCCCGGUAGUC
This 460-nucleotide ribosomal RNA is filed under the name uncultured bacterium. RNAcentral's name for it is "partial 16S ribosomal RNA". It matches the Rfam family "Bacterial small subunit ribosomal RNA", at positions 338 to 795 of the family's 1533-position model. The record is from RNAcentral.